GCCCGGCUCGCGCAAUGGUAACGCGUAAGACUUCUAAUUCUCUUUGAUCCCUCCCAAAAACAAGAAGGAUCAGGGAAAAAGCUUAUCUUAAGGUUGUGGGUUCAAGUCCAACGACGUCGGGUG
Molecule: non-coding RNA, 123 nt
Organism: Podospora fimiseda
Lineage: Eukaryota; Fungi; Ascomycota; Sordariomycetes; Sordariales; Podosporaceae
Source: the annotation of a GenBank genome assembly